This 1007-nucleotide long non-coding RNA is filed under the name Triticum aestivum (bread wheat). Its description in RNAcentral is "long non-coding RNA (TAES_LNC020781)". The record is from RNAcentral. Lineage: Eukaryota; Viridiplantae; Streptophyta; Magnoliopsida; Poales; Poaceae.
GCUAUUGAUUUUCUACUGGUAACUGUUUGGCCAAGGAGAAAAGUUAGCUGCAUGUACAGUACUAGGAAAAUUAAAAUGACAUAACCCCAAGAUGUUUUGUUUUUGCAUUGCCCAUCUCAUUUAGCAAUGUACUUUAAACUGACAUAGCAUUCUUUUUUGCAGCAAUUUUUUGGGUUCAAACGACACUUACUGUACAUUGUUGAAAAAGUAGCAUGCCUAUUCGGAUAGUAAUCACUUGCGUGAAAUACUAAACCAUGUCCCUUGAAAAAUCUAUUUAUUUAUUAGAUAUAUUUUCGGCAUACUAAUAUCACUUUCUCAAGAUUUUAGAUGAACUUAGAGUUCAUAUUCAUUAUACUGUAAUUUAAAAAAUGAGGUAAACAAUUUGGGCUCGAGACCUGUGCAUGAAUAAUGAUUUAUUAAUGACUGACAGCUGAUCUACAGUGUGUUUUGUAAGGUCAAAAGUUAAUUUUGUUUCUCCUGUUCACCAAGGGUGUUAUUGGCUCACAAGGUUACAAUUUAUCAAUCGAUCAAAUUUAAUGUCAGUAUACAUAUAUUUGAUCUUCCAAAUUACAAUUCCAUAUGUUGAAUCUGGAGUUUAAAACAAAAGAUAUAUAAUCUGUGUACAGAGCUACCAUGGUGCCCCUCCUUUCAAAAUUUACUGCUUUAACAUGAUUUUCUCCAUAACUUACUCAUCUCAUUUAUUUGUUGUUGUAGAUUGCCAAGAAAUUGAUGAUGCUUGGCUCAGAUGUUGAUUGCAAGGUUAAGAAUGUGGCCAAUAUUAGAUAAUUAGACUGUCAUUUUAAGGGUCAAUGUUUCAACCAUUGUAGUUGAUUGCAAGGUCGACAAUUGGGCUACUACUAGAUAGUUUCACAUCUUGUAAUCUUUGGAAUGUGUUCUCUGUAAUGCAACACGAUUGAUUUAAUACAUCCGACUUUUUUAUUGUAUAUUGUGGCUCCUAUUCGUUACCUCAUAAUUCUUGAUGGCAAUGUAUAAAAUAUCAUUCAUUG